AGUGAACGCUGGCGGUAGGCCUAACACAUGCCAGUCGAACGGCAGCACAGUAAGAGCUUGCUCUUACGGGUGGCGAGUGGCGGACGGGUGAGGAAUACAUCGGAAUCUACUUUUUCGUGGGGGAUAACGUAGGGAAACUUACGCUAAUACCGCAUACGACCUACGGGUGAAAGCAGGGGAUCUUCGGACCUUGCGCGAUUGAAUGAGCCGAUGUCGGAUUAGCUAGUUGGCGGGGUAAAGGCCCACCAAGGCGACGAUCCGUAGCUGGUCUGAGAGGAUGAUCAGCCACACUGGAACUGAGACACGGUCCAGACUCCUACGGGAGGCAGCAGUGGGGAAUAUUGGACAAUGGGCGCAAGCCUGAUCCAGCCAUACCGCGUGGGUGAAGAAGGCCUUCGGGUUGUAAAGCCCUUUUGUUGGGAAAGAAAAGCAGCAGGUUAAUACCCCGCUGUUCUGACGGUACCCAAAGAAUAAGCACCGGGUAACUUCGUG
RNAcentral lists this ribosomal RNA (492 nucleotides) under uncultured bacterium. RNAcentral describes it as "partial 16S ribosomal RNA". It matches the Rfam family "Bacterial small subunit ribosomal RNA", at positions 29 to 507 of the family's 1533-position model. The record is from RNAcentral.